UGGGGAAUAUUGGACAAUGGGCGAAAGCCUGAUGCAGCAACGCCGCGUGAGGGAUGACGGCCUUCGGGUUGUAAACCUCUUUUAGUAGGGAGGAAGCGAAAGUGACGGUACCUGCAGAAAAAGCACCGGCUAACUACGUGCCAGCAGCCGCGGUAAUACGUAGGGUGCAAGCGUUGUCCGGAAUUAUUGGGCGUAAAGAGCUCGUAGGCGGUUUGUCGCGUCUGCUGUGAAAUCCCGAGGCUCAACCUCGGGUCUGCAGUGGGUACGGGCAGACUAGAGUGUGGUAGGGGAGAUUGGAAUUCCUGGUGUAGCGGUGGAAUGCGCAGAUAUCAGGAGGAACACCGAUGGCGAAGGCAGAUCUCUGGGCCAUUACUGACGCUGAGGAGCGAAAGCAUGGGGAGCGAACA
This 407-nucleotide ribosomal RNA is filed under the name uncultured bacterium. RNAcentral describes it as "partial 16S ribosomal RNA". It matches the Rfam family "Bacterial small subunit ribosomal RNA", at positions 355 to 774 of the family's 1533-position model. The record is from RNAcentral.